AGAAAGGACAAAAAGAAGAAAAGGAGAAGAAAAUUUCAUUUUCUCUUUUCUUCUUCUUCUUCUCUUCCCUUCACCGCCAAGAGUUUGAAGACAUCCAAGUUCCCUUUAUUUUUUUUUCUUUUUCCUUCUUCAAUUUGCAGAGAACUUCUAAGAGAGAGUUUGGAAGAAGAAGAGAAAUUUUACUAGAAUUUUUAGGUUGAAGAAGAGGAGGAGAACUCAAGCAAAGUGUAUCAAUGGCUGAAUUUUAGUUCAUUCUGCACAUCACUGGUUUUUAAUUCGGUUUGAACUCUUCAAAAGGAAUUAAGAGGGCAGUUGGUUUUCACUCGAAAUCAGGAGGUCUCUGGUUUUUCUUGUAUGUCAGAGUGAAUCGGUGGAGUUAGAAUCUCUAUUUGGAACAAGUUAAAGAGGUCGUGUGCGCGCGAUUCUGGAAGUGGUUCUAUUUUGAGGGUUAUAUGUGUUUAUGCACGGGGAAUCAGAUUUAUAUGUCUUCAGGCUGAGAAGAAUUAAACCGAGCUUAUAGACCAAGGAUCUAGCCCAAGACUGUAGAGAUCGACUUCCCGGUGCCUGAUAGACUGCCUUAGUCUGCGGAAGCUUCAUUAUCGAUUGCCAGUACGUGUUUUGAGUUGGGCAUAAAGUCUGUUGUGUUGUGAUGUAUUCACACCCUUGUAUGUUAUAGAUACUCCACAGUUUGUAUAAGCUUUAGGAGCUGUAGUUGUGUAAAUUUUGUUGGUUAUAUUUUGAUUAAGGUGUCUUUAGGUUUACUCGUGAAAUCGGUAAAUUUUGAGGUACACUUCAUGUAUGUGUUUGACUAGCUGUGUUUGACUAGCCUAGGAUCCGCUGUGUUUUGUGGCAUGUACAAUAGUUUAUAUACUAGAUUGGCAAGUUCAUCACAUGAAAGUUUUAAGCAGAGUUGACAGAUACAGGUACAGAAAAA
Molecule: long non-coding RNA, 934 nt
Organism: Cucumis melo (muskmelon)
Lineage: Eukaryota; Viridiplantae; Streptophyta; Magnoliopsida; Cucurbitales; Cucurbitaceae
Exons: 5
Source: RefSeq, a predicted model, not a curated record